Molecule: ribosomal RNA, 346 nt
Filed under: uncultured fungus
Lineage: Eukaryota; Fungi
Description: eukaryotic LSU rRNA
Rfam family: 5.8S ribosomal RNA (bases 53-206)
Source: RNAcentral
CAAGUUCUUGUCUGACAAGUAGCUUACUGAUUUGGAGCAUGAUAACUGAUACAACUUUCAACAACGGAUCUCUUGGCUCUCACAUCGAUGAAGAACAUAGCAAAGUGUGAAAAGUAGUGUGAAUUGCAGAAUUCAGUGAAUCAUCGAGUUUUUGAACGCAUCUUGCACUUCUUGGUAUUCCAAGGAGUAUGUCUGGUUGAGUAAUGUGAAUAUCUAAUCAAACACUCUUGUGUUUGGAACUGAGUGAGUUGCCUUGUCUCUUGCGAGACGAGGCUCACUUGAAAUGCAAGGGGACAAGACUUUCUGUGGAGACUCGCGUUUUUGUCCUAUCUACCAAUGACUUGAU